Molecule: ribosomal RNA, 621 nt
Filed under: uncultured marine microorganism
Description: bacterial SSU rRNA
Rfam family: Bacterial small subunit ribosomal RNA
Source: RNAcentral
AGAGUUUGAUCCUGGCUCAGGAUGAACGCUGGCGGCGUGCUUAACACAUGCAAGUCGAACGAACCUUCGGGUUAGUGGCGGACGGGUGAGUAACGCGUGAGAAUCUGCCCUCAGGAGGGGGAUAACGGUUGGAAACGACCGCUAAUACCCCAUAUGCCUACUGGUGAAAUGAAUUUCGCCUGAGGAUGAGCUCGCGUCUGAUUAGCUAGUUGGUGAGGUAAUGGCUCACCAAGGCUUCGAUCAGUAGCUGGUCUGAGAGGAUGAUCAGCCACACUGGGACUGAGACACGGCCCAGACUCCUACGGGAGGCAGCAGUGGGGAAUUUUCCGCAAUGGGCGAAAGCCUGACGGAGCAACGCCGCGUGAGGGACGAAGGCCUCUGGGCUGUAAACCUCUUUUCUCAAGGAAGAAGAUAUGACGGUACUUGAGGAAUAAGCCACGGCUAAUUCCGUGCCAGCAGCCGCGGUAAUACGGGAGUGGCAAGCGUUAUCCGGAAUUAUUGGGCGUAAAGCGUCCGCAGGCGGCUUUUCAAGUCUGCUGUUAAAGCGUGGAGCUUAACUCCAUCAUGGCAGUGGAAACUGAAAGGCUUGAGUAUGGUAGGGGCAGAGGGAAUUCCCGGUGU